Molecule: ribosomal RNA, 460 nt
Filed under: uncultured bacterium
Lineage: Bacteria
Description: partial 16S ribosomal RNA
Rfam family: Bacterial small subunit ribosomal RNA
Source: RNAcentral
CCUACGGGAGGCAGCAGUGAGGAAUAUUGGUCAAUGGACGAGAGUCUGAACCAGCCAAGUAGCGUGAAGGAUGACUGCCCUAUGGGUUGUAAACUUCUUUUAUAUGGGAAUAAAAUGUUCCACGUGUGGGAUUUUGUAUGUACCAUAUGAAUAAGGAUCGGCUAACUCCGUGCCAGCAGCCGCGUUAAUACGGAGGAUCCGAGCGUUAUCCGGAUUUUUUGGGGUUAAAGGGAGCUUAGGUAGAUUGUUAAGUAAGUUGUGAAAGUUUGCGGCUCAACCGUAAAAUUGCAGUUGAAACUGGCAGUCUUGAGUACAGUAGAGGUGGGCGGAAUGCGUGGUGUAGCGGUGAAAUGCUUAGAUAUCACGAAGAACUCCGAUUGCGAAGGCAGCUCACUGGACUGCAACUGACACUGAGGCUCGAAAGUGUGGGUAUCAAACAGGAUUAGAUACCCCUGUAGUC